This 433-nucleotide ribosomal RNA is filed under the name uncultured bacterium. RNAcentral describes it as "partial 16S ribosomal RNA". It matches the Rfam family "Bacterial small subunit ribosomal RNA", at positions 29 to 507 of the family's 1533-position model. The record is from RNAcentral.
AACGAACGCUGGCGGCAUGCCUAACGCAUGCAAGUCGAACGAGACCUUCGGGUCUAGUGGCGCACGGGUGCGUAACGCGUGGGAACCUGCCCUUAGGUUCGGAAUAACUCCCCGAAAGGGGUGCUAAUACCGGAUAAUGUCUUCGGACCAAAGAUUUAUCGCCUUUGGAUGGGCCCGCGUUGGAUUAGCUAGUUGGUAGGGUAAAAGCCUACCAAGGCGACGAUCCAUAGCUGGUCUGAGAGGAUGAUCAGCCACACUGGGACUGAGACACGGCCCAGACUCCUACGGGAGGCAGCAGUGGGGAAUAUUGGACAAGGGGCGAAAGCCUGAUCCAGCAAUGCCGCGUGAGUGAUGAAGGCCUUAGGGUUGUAAAGCUCGUUUACCCGGGAGGAUAAUGACAGUACCGGGAGAAUAAGCUCCGGCUAACUCCGUG